RNAcentral lists this long non-coding RNA (1926 nucleotides) under Homo sapiens (human). RNAcentral describes it as "HSALNT0298637". The record is from RNAcentral. Lineage: Eukaryota; Metazoa; Chordata; Mammalia; Primates; Hominidae.
ACCACCUGCUGGUGCCUCCAUCCUUGGCUCUCAGCAUAACAUUACAACCAUGCACCUAACAGGUGUUUCCAAAGCUCUCUCCAGCCCUGUGUUUACAAGCUCACUUAUUUGUGCAAUAGUUUUGAAUGCUUUGGGAUACUUUUCAUUUAAGGAAAAAAGCAACAAAACCUAAUUGCCCGUGAUGGAAAAUAACCCACUUCACAGACACAGAAAUGUGCUAAAAGGCAAGUUGUGUUUCUUUCUUGUAUCUAAGGAAAUGGUCCCACUGAGGCCCAAGACUUGACAGUGGAAGUCUUGCCAAUUUAAAGUCUAAUGAAGAUUGUGAAUUAUUGACUGGCACAAGUAGAGCUUCCUGCACUCAAUGAUGGACAACUGAAGGCCUGUGCUAGCACUCUGUUUGGUACUUAGGAGAGUGUGGCUCAAUUUUUCCACUUUCUUUAAGAUGUGAAACUUCAGUCAACCUCUUUGUGUCAGAUUCCCUCCAUCUUGAAAACAAUUUCUGCCGCCUCCUACCUUCUCUGCUACAGGAUGACUAAUGUCCGUGCAGAACUGCAGGACUUCUGAAAGAACCACAUGCUUUUGGGGCCAGAGGAAGCCAACCACCUGGCUGUGUGUUCCCCUUCUUUCAUCUCCUACUGCUAAGGGCCUUGGCCUCUGAAGGGCAGCAACAAGAGCACCAGCUAACUUUCUUGAAAAUUCACUCUGCCAGAAGCCCUGCUGAGAGCUCUACACACCUUCGUCUAUUUAAUCAUCCCAAAGACACUGUUGGGAGGUAUAGUUACCAGCCCCAUUUAGCAGGUUGGGAGACUCCGAGGUUGUCACCUGCCAAAGGCCACAGACCUAGAAAGUGUUAGAACUGGGACAAACCCACAUCGGAAUGAUUCCAAAGCCCUUACUCUUAGCAGUAAGACCUCGAUGUCUCCCUGGCAUUGUUAGGAGUCCUCAAAUCCAUUGUCUAUGGACUGAGUACAAAAUACAUACAUAUUCUAUAGAGAAUAAUAACAUAUAAAUUCAUCAUUAAUACAUUCCUUGGAGCUUAUUAUAUUCUCAGUUAAUUGUGUACAAAAAUUGCAUCAACUCAAAAAUGCUGGCAUUCUCUGUCCUUCAGUCGUUAUCCCUGUGUCCUCUGUGUACAGUACUGAUUAGCUUGUCUGGUGCCAUUACUCAUCUCCCAGUGUUUGUGUCACUUCUUCAACAAGGUAAACUCCUAGUAAGUGGGACUACAGAAAAUAGGGUUUCUUUUGAGUCCUGCCUGGUCCCACUCCAAGGUCUUACACUUGAUAGAUACAGAUUUAGCUAACUGGUUGAUUACAACAACCUCUGUAAUACUCCUCCUCAUAUUGGCCCACAGAAUGAUACAUCUCAAGUCUCCUGCCCUGUAUCCCGCUGGAGAUGCCCUAAUGUGGCCUGCAUGCUUCCAACAGCCCAGACUGUAAUGAAAAUAGCUACCAUGUAUUCAGCACGUUCUGUUCACUAGGCUCUAUACUCGGUGCAGGGGAUACUGUUGUGAAGAAAACAAAGCGCAGAGCUCAGCUAUUGUAUUAAUGCAAUGUGGGAUGGCAUUUCAUUAACAUAACCACCUAGAGGAGGGUAUCAUCUUCUCCCUUUUACUGAUGGAAAAGUUGUAGAGGAGCAGAACUUGAACUAGGGUUUAUCUCAAUAUGUUUUGAUUUGUGGGUCACUACCCAUUGUUGGAUUAAUGGGUGCUAAAUGUAUUUAGUGGGUCAUAACUAACAUUUAUUUUAAUGGAUUGGUUUGGGAUGGAAGGACCAGAGUACAUAGCAUGUAAUAGAAGUAUUAUUUGCUGAAACUUUUGUUUCAUUUACAUACAGACAUAUAGAGAGUUGCAAUAUAUUUCUUACUGUGAGUCAUGUCAGAAAACAUAUGAAAGCCACUGGUUUGUUCAAAUCCCAAUCUGUUCUUCUA